This 432-nucleotide ribosomal RNA is filed under the name uncultured bacterium. RNAcentral's name for it is "partial 16S ribosomal RNA". It matches the Rfam family "Bacterial small subunit ribosomal RNA", at positions 29 to 507 of the family's 1533-position model. The record is from RNAcentral.
AACGAACGCUGGCGGCAUGCCUAACACAUGCAAGUCGAACGAAACCUUCGGGUCUUUUGGCGCACGGGUGCGUAACGCGUGGGAACCUGCCCUUAGGUUCGGAAUAACUCCCCGAAAGGGGUGCUAAUACCGGAUAAUGUCUUCGGACCAAAGAUUUAUCGCCUUUGGGUGGGCCCGCGUUGGAUUAGCUGGUUGGUAGGGUAAAAGCCUACCAAGGCGGCGAUCCAUAACUGGUCUGAGAGGAUGAUCAGCCACACUGGGACUGGGACACGGCCGAGACCCUCCGGAGUGGGCGAAGGGGGGAAGAAGGAACAGGGGGCGAAAGCCGAAAGCCUCCGGGCCGGGAGAGUGAGUAAUGCGUGAGGAAUAAAAGGGUAUUUUACCGGGGACGUAAUGACGGUACCUGGUAAAAAAGCCCCGGCUAACUACGUG